RNAcentral lists this ribosomal RNA (500 nucleotides) under uncultured bacterium. Its description in RNAcentral is "partial 16S ribosomal RNA". It matches the Rfam family "Bacterial small subunit ribosomal RNA", at positions 29 to 523 of the family's 1533-position model. The record is from RNAcentral.
AUUGAACGCUGGCGGCAUGCCUUACACAUGCAAGUCGAACGGCAGCACGGGAGCAAUUCUGGUGGCGAGUGGCGAACGGGUGAGUAAUAUAUCGGAACGUGCCCGGUCGUGGGGGAUACCGUAGCGAAAGCUACGCUAAGACCGCAUACGAUCUAUGGAUGAAAGCGGGGGAUCGCAAGACCUCGCGCGAUUGGAGCGGCCGAUAGCAUAUUAGGUAGUUGGUGAGGUAAAGGCUCACCAAGCCGACGAUCUGUAGCUGGUCUGAGAGGACGGCCAGCCACACUGGGACUGGGACACGGCCCAGAAGCCGACGGGAGGCGGCAGUGGGGAAUUUUGCACAAUGGGCGCAAGCCUGAUCCAGCAAUGCCGCGUGCAGGAUGAAGGCCUUCGGGUUGUAAACUGCUUUUGUACGGAACGGAACGGCGAGCUCUAAUACAGUUUGCUAAUGACGGUACCGUAAGAAUAAGCACCGGCUAACUACGUGCCAGCCGCCGCGGAAA